CCCUUAGACGUUCUGGGCCGCACGCGCGCUACACUGACGAAGGCAACGAGCUUUCCUUUACCGAAAGGUACGGGUAAUCUUUUGAAACUUCGUCGUGCUGGGGAUAGAUCCUUGCAAUUAUUGAUCUUAAACGAGGAAUUCCUAGUAAGCGCAAGUCAUCAACUUGCGUUGAUUACGUCCCUGCCCUUUGUACACACCGCCCGUCGCUCCUACCGAUUGGGUGUGCUGGUGAAAUGUUCGGAUCGGCCGUUUGUCGCGGUUUCCGCGUCAUGUGGCUGAGAAGUUCAUUAAACCCUCCCACCUAGAGGAAGGAGAAGUCGUAACA
RNAcentral lists this ribosomal RNA (325 nucleotides) under uncultured eukaryote. RNAcentral's name for it is "partial 18S ribosomal RNA". It matches the Rfam family "Eukaryotic small subunit ribosomal RNA", at positions 1470 to 1796 of the family's 1831-position model. The record is from RNAcentral.